Molecule: long non-coding RNA, 1813 nt
Filed under: Homo sapiens (human)
Lineage: Eukaryota; Metazoa; Chordata; Mammalia; Primates; Hominidae
Description: HSALNT0079389
Source: RNAcentral
AUUUUUACAUAAAGCCUGCUAUUUGACCUAUGCAUUUGCUAUGCAUUUGACUAAACAUAGAAAAUGUUUCAUUUAAUUUGACAUUUUGUUGAACACCUGUGAUGGGCCAGGCACAGUGAUGGGGAUUGAGGAUCCAAAGAGGAAAAGAUCCCAUGUCUGCUAAAAAAGACUCAGAAUCCAGUAGGGAGACAGACACGCCACCAACAGAGCACAGGGUUUAUGGGAGCAGUGUGGAGGAUGCUGUGCCGGCCUUGGGGUGGGUCCCACAGAUGAACACUGAAAUGUGGUUUAUCUCCUCCCCAAUCUAGACAUCUUGGAGCUACACUGGUCCUUCUACUUUUAUUGUUUUUCACAGAUCAUCUUCACAUUUUUUCAUCAAAGAGAUGGCCUUCUGUCAACCAAAUGCUCAUAGAAUGCUCAUUUAAGAUGUUUUUGGGUCAAACUUUCACCUUAUAUUUUCUCUUUUCCCAACAUGAUAGGUCUCUUAUGUUGGAGAAGACUUUAUAUGAUCACUUGGACCAGUAAUUGCCAAUUCUGGAUGGUCACCAGAGGGUUCUUUAAAAACAGAACCAAGGUCUGCACUGCAUCUCCAAGCCUGCAGAGAAAUGAUGUGUGACAGCCCGCCUUGACAAAUCAGCACUGCUUACAGCCCUGCCACCAGAAUGCCUUCACUCUGUCCAACUUGAAUUCCCUUUAAAGCAAUGGAAGGAAUCUGCUUUCCAAGAUCCCUUCAGAAGGAAAGAUUUGCAUUGUUUAAAGGAGAAUAAAAAUCAGAUGUCUAAGAAAAAGGAAAAAGACAAAGUCUCCUUUCAAGAAGUAACAACUCUGCCAGCUUACUCAGGUCAUGAAAUAAUGCUGUUGGCAAUGACUUUGGGGUGUUCUGUCACAGUCUCAGUACACUUUCUCCCCCCUGGGCAGUAUUUUAUAGUUACUGCUUCUACGCCCCAUUGGCUCAGACAUAAUUUAUUAUUUGUUUACAUGUUUCACUUACUCUGCUAAGGUGGAAGUCCGGUGAUGCAUUAUUACUGACAGCAUCAGUGUGUGUGUGUGUGUGUCUGUGUGUGUCUAUUUGUGUGUCAUUGAAAGACUCAAGGAGAUCUGACGGGUUCUGAACCUGCAAGUUUUCAGAGCACAAGUGGCCCCCCCAGGUCUACAAGAGCCUCCCUGGGCUCUUGGCUCAGAUCAAAUGUGUCCUAUGUCCCUGUAGUUAGUUCCUUCUACUUCUCUGAGGACCAAGACAAUUCCAGGAAGACACAGGCUCCCCGGGACUGUGACUUUCUAUUCUCUCCUUUGACUUGUCUUCCUGUGUAGUGAUCAAAGUCCUCCCAUUUCUGGGGGGAACGUCACAGUUUACACAGCACUUUCUUCACGACAAUAGCAUGAAGAAAAUAAUACCUGCCCUUUAUCUCCACAUGAGACACAGACAGGUCAAGGACGUGUGCAAGUUCAAAGAGCAAGAGUGGAAUCCAGCCCGAACCAGCACCCCAUGAUGGAAGGGGAAUGACCGUGGCUGGCCCAGUCACUUACAGCUCUUUGACCAGGGGCAGCUCACGAAAAGCUCAGGUUCUUCACCUGCUAAAAGAUGGCAGUGAUAGUGCUUACUGCACAGGGCUGUUUUAGAAAUAAAAUAGAUUUCUAAAAGUGCUCAGCAAAAUGACUAGCAUGUAAUAAACGUGCAAUAAAUGCUACCAACAUUAAUGGUCUUUUCAAAGCAUUGUGUUUACAAAAGCUUUAGGGCUUAUAAUAAGAACGGUAGUAGGUGACUCUUUUGUAAUAUAAUAAUAAUAAUGAUAAUAAUAAAAUAAUAGGUGGC